UCCCUGGUGCUCCAGUGGCUAAGAUGCUGCACUCCCAAUGCAGGGGGCCUGGGUUCAAUACCCAGUCAGGGAA
This is a non-coding RNA of Bos taurus (domestic cattle), 73 nucleotides long. The record is from Rfam. NCBI's taxonomy places the organism in Eukaryota, Metazoa, Chordata, Mammalia, Artiodactyla, Bovidae.